Molecule: long non-coding RNA, 710 nt
Filed under: Mus musculus (house mouse)
Lineage: Eukaryota; Metazoa; Chordata; Mammalia; Rodentia; Muridae
Description: long non-coding RNA chr18:3004824-3005534
Source: RNAcentral
UUUCUCUAGCCCUAGCUGACUUGUAAGCCAGGGUGACCUUGAACGCAGAAAUCUGCCUGAGGUUAAAGGUGUGUUCCACAAUUGCCCCAGCUCUACUCUAAUUCUCUUUUUAAAAAUGUGUGUGUGUAUAUAUGUAUAUAUGUAUAUAUAGAAGUAAUAUUAAUCCAUUAAUAUCUGUUUCCUAAAAUUCAUGUCUCUCUCUCUCUCUCUCUCUCUCUCUCUCUCUCUCUCUCUCUCUCUUUCUUAAAUUUAUUCUUUUCAUACAUAGUUUCAUAAUGUAAGCAGCCCUGGCCGUCUUGAAGACACUUUGUAGGCCUCAAUCCUGUAAGAGCCUUCCUCUGCUUAUCAAAUGCUGCCAUGAAUGUUGUACCUCACUAUGACUGGCUGAGAUUCUCACCUUUUCUUCCCCCCCCCUUUCUUUUUAUGAUUCUAUCUUUGGCCACGCAGUGGUGGUGGUGGUGGCAGAGGGAGGUGGAUCACUGUAACUUUGCAGCUAGCUUAGUCUUCAGUCUGAUUUACUCGAAAGGAGUUCCAAGAAGACUGGUUAUAUUUUUCAUUUAUUAUGCAUUUUAAUUAAAAUUUAAUUAAACCCAAAGAAUUUAGACUGACCAAUUCAGAGUCUGCCAUUUAAAAGCAUAAGGAAAAAGUAGGAGAAAACGUGAGGCUGUCUGUGGAUGGUCGAGGCUGCUUUAGGGAACCUCCUCACCAUU